GCAGAUCCGGAUCGGGGGCGGCGGCUGCUGCUGCGCGGGGUCCGAGGCGCUCAGAGCCGUGAGGAUCAUCGAGUCAAAUGCUGAGGAGUGACCGGCCCAGCUGCGCAUUGAUCACAGACUUUCAGCCUUGUCAGCACCCUGCUCCAAACACCUGAGCCAAUCCCAGGGUUGCUCCAAAGUCCUGCGUGGGAUGGGAAUGACUGCUGCCAGUAAGAGACCUCCUCUACAAAUGCAGCUCCUUCCCUUCUGUGAAUGCUGCUUUACACACCAGCCCCUGCAAUGGCUCUAGGGCAGAACUGGCUGGCACUCACCUGUCAGCACCAAACUCUUCCCCACGACCCUGAUUGUUCUGCCCUUUCCAGGAUUUACCCAGCAGCUGUAAACGUGCUCACACGAUGUCCCUUUGUUUCCCCAGGAAGAAGUGAACCAGACAGCUCCUGAGGGUUCCUCUGGAGAGUGGCAGGGGGCGUUUCCUGCAGGUGAGCGUUGCCAGCUCAAAGUGACGGUGGCUGCUGAGGCCGGGGCUGUUUCUGGGCCCAGAGGCCUCGGUGUCUCCUGCUCGCUGCCAGCCGUGCUCCUUGGUGUUCCCUCAGGGUGUCCCAGCGGGCUGGGAGCGCAGGGCAGGAGGAGCCAGAAGCUCCUGAAGGCAGCAGCCCCUCGUGUCUGUGGGAUCUGCAGGAGGAGCUGUGCCUGCACCGUGGCUCCUGGGCCAGGGGCUGCUCUGAGCAGGCACGUGGAAAUGCUCCAGCCCACACAGAGCACCAAGAGCCCAGGAGGAGCCCAAGGAGCAGCUGGCAUUACCUGGGAAUGGAGGCACGGCCCGUUUGCACAGGGGCUCACGCAGCAAUUCCCGGUUCAGAGCUCCCACACAGCUGCCAGCUAUGUCCCAGCCACCCCAAAUCCCUUCCCUCCUGCCCAGCCUGAGGCCACCAUCCAUCAGCAGCAUUACAGCCAAGGCAAUCUUCCCCCACAGAUACUGAAUCCCAGGCAGGAGCCCUCAGAGAUACCUGGAAAUCAGUGGGAUGGAGUUUGGAGUUUUUCAGGAUCCAGCUGCAAGUGCACAAGUGGUGGAAAGCUUUCACAGUUUUAAUCCCUCAGUGGGCAGCCUGUACAACUUAUCCUGGGAUUUAGAGGUUGAGCAGGGCUGGCUUUGGAUUGACCUUCACCUCUGGCCCCAGCCUGUGCAAACACACCUUGUGCCAGAGUGGGUGAGCUCAUCACCUCAGCUUUUCCCUCCUAAAUAUCCCCUACUUAUUUCCCUGUAGAUUAACUCAGACUUUGCCCCAAACCAUCCACUCCUCACCUCCAUG
Molecule: long non-coding RNA, 1310 nt
Organism: Melospiza georgiana
Lineage: Eukaryota; Metazoa; Chordata; Aves; Passeriformes; Passerellidae
Exons: 3
Source: RefSeq, a predicted model, not a curated record